CAGUAUGGAGAUCAGGCCCCAAGCUUAUCAGGAAUUUACAUCUACUGUAGCUGAAAGCAGAAUAGAAAGGGGAAAAAUAGAAAACACACACACACAUACACACACACACAACCAGGCAGGCCCCUGCAACUACUGUGAGAAUGUGCACUUCGAGUUCAUGUCGAAAAAUACACACGCACACAUGUACAGAGCCACAUCAGCUGCACACGAUCAAAUGUCCCGGUUUAUCAAUCCCCCUAAUCUCGAGAGCCAGAACUGUAACUGCAUGUGCAACAGAGCUGCCAAAGGGUUCGCUCAUUUGCUGUAUGUGCCCGCGCUCCCGUGUUUGAAGUUAAUAAAUAUAACAGGCUAUCUGGGUUGGAGAUCAGCUCCCUGUGCUUUAUCAGCCGUUCACAUCUAUCUAACAGCAGAACAAAAGAGAGAAAAAGAGAGCCAGCAGCUGCAUGGAGGUUGCUGUUAUUUUCAUGGCCUUUGACAAGCGCUGAUGGAGGGGGAGGGGAACACCGACAACCUUCAUCGCUCCUGGGAUCAGAUCCUCUAUCGGAGGUGCUCCAACCGCCCCCAGAUACCUGGCUCUGGCCCGGACACAGGGCCUCGAAGCACUCACCACAAGGCUUUUCUGUGACACCAAACACAGGACACACCGGGCACUCCCCCCCUUGCUAUCCCAGCCACCAUCAGCUCCUGCUAACAAUCCACUUUUUAAUGCCAUAAACUCCAGAGACAGCUCAAGUUUAACCCAGACCCAAGACACGACGAGGGCUGGAGGCAGGCGCCGCCAGCACCUUCACGGAAAGGCACGGCCCCCAGGAUUGUUACGCUGCGAGGUAAGGGGUUGCGAUAUGCUGGCUCUUCCCGACCACCUGGGUGCUGAACAUGCACGUCAGGAUGGAAGGGGCUCGCCAACCUCAAAAGCCUCCCUCCGAAAACAAAUGAACGGACCACGAAGUGGUUAAAUAAUAGUCCAGGGCUGAUCCUUGUCUUAUCGCGCUUGGCAAUCGCUGGAGCUCUGAGAUCUCCCUUCUGAGCCUAUCUGCUUUUCACAUCAAGCUGAAGGGGAGGAAGAACAGUCACGGAGGAAGAUAAAAUAAGCAGAUAUGAAUCUGGGGGGAGGUUUUAAUGCUUCAGCUGAGCUGACAGCAGCCUGAGCUCUGGGGAAACAGGUCCGGUUUGUCCAUUACAGGAGUCCGGUUACCAGAACCCCGAUCCAGGCGUACUUCCCUCUCCUCCGGAGAGUGCAGCAGAGCCGGCACCGUGUGCUAUAGGUUUGCAACGACUGUUUUCAUGUUGACACAUACAGGAAGGGUUCCCAGCUUUCAGCUGCUAAUCAGUUUUGGCCAUCAGCAUCAGCCUGAGAUCAGCCUCCCACUUUAUCAUUUCUUCACAUCUCUGAAGAAAGCACAAGAGGAAGGAGAUACAAGCAGCCUUCAGUGCAGCUAAUGCAUUCAGAGCACUGCCCAUCCUGGCAACAUCACAAUCCAUCUUAAGAUCACCUUUUACUCCUGAUUAAGCAGAGUACGCCUCGCAGAGCUGAAAACAGAUGCCCAACAAUGGCUCGGAGAGCCCUGACAACUCCCGCAGACAAACUGGAUGGAAAGUUUAAAAAUCGAGCUUGGCACUGGCGGAGGCUGAAGGGCAGGUUUACAUGUUAUUAGCCGGUCCCCUUCUCAGCAGCGCCUUGGCAGACCUGAAAGGCGCUCACUUCCUGUCACAAAAAGAGUGUGUAUCCCACACACUGAAAUACACUUAUCGCAAGGAAGAUCAGCAUUGUUAUUUCAGCGGCUGAGCGCUCAAUGCAGACGCUACCACUCGCCGCUCUAUUAACUUCAGCUAAUUAAAAUGGGAUCCUUCCAGAGGAGUCCAGCCCGUUUCCUAACUGCCACGGAGAACAGCCCUGCCCAAGGCACGGCCAGCAGAAAGCUGCAGAAGUUGGAGAAAACUUUAAAAAAAAAAAAAUGGAGAGAGAGGCAAAUAGAAGUUAAAAAUACUUCUCUCCCUGCUAAGGUUUGGCACAACUUUAUCAACCCCAUGAUCACCCCAGGCUGGUGAACAGGUAGAUGCAGCUCACUACUGCAAUUACUUCAAGGGGAAGAUAAAGCAGUAUUAUCACACGGUGGCCAGAGUUACUAUCCCCACAUCUCUGCAUUAUCUCUGCCUUAGAUCUACUGGUGGGGCGGGGGCAGGAUGACAAAAUAACUAACCCUGUCCCUGGGAAACGUGCCAGCCGUUUAGAGAAUUUCCCGGGAAUAAGCAACAAUCAUCUCUUUCAUCUCUGCCAGACCUGAAAUCAGAUUCUCCUUGGUUGAUCAAUUUGGAGCCCUGGGAGAACGGAUAAUCCGGAGGCACUCUCAUCAGCCACGGGAGACUUGGACAGAGACAGAAAUAUCAAGUGAUCCAACCGCAGUCUGGAUCGGCUUUUUAUCAGGACAGCGACGGGGUCUUCUCACAGUCUUGUUGGGGCAGGGAAGGGGAACUGGAGGCAAGAGGCAGCAGGGGAGGGAGAACCCCCCUGGGGAGCAUCCUUGGAGAAGGUAUAAAUUAAGAAAGAACCCAGCAAGCCGAGCCGGGAGCCGGAUAAGGUCCCCCCCCACCGCCAGUUAAAGAUCUCCGAAUACUUUGCACCACAUUUUUCAAAAGUCCCCUAGACGAGGAGGCGCUCGAAUGCAAUGGAUGUGAGUCAAAGCCAGAUAAAAUCACAAUUUCAGCCCGUCCCGACAGAGCGAUCUUAUCAGGCCGGGCCUGGCAGAAUGGAAUAUUUUAAAGCUUGAUCUCAACCCUGAUCGGAGGCGGCGGUAUCACACUGAAACAUCUCGGUGGAAGGAGAGAGGGGAAGGAGAAAGGUGGGGGAGGCAAACAAAUAAAUAGGCCAGGCACACACAUGCAAACUUCUCGCGCCCGUGCCAGCCCGGAGGGUGGGCGCUCGGCGCUGCAGGGCAGGGUGCCCAGAAGCAGCUCUCAAAGGGGGAGACGCGCAGGGAGGAGAAGGAGCCGCAAAGCCGCCAGCCUGCUGGGUCCUCCGCUUCCCGGGCGCCGCAGCAGGAGAUGACCGGAGAAAUGGCUUGUUGGAGCUCAACGGGAAGCACGUCGCUGAUGAGCUCUGUGCCCAGAAGUGCGGCGUGCGUGUGUGUGUGUGUGUGCACACAAAAAGCAACACUGCCUUGUUUGCAUUGAUGACAUCACCCUGGCAUUAACGAGCAACCCCAAUUACAAAAGAGCACGCUCCAUCUAGCCAGCCAAAGCGACCCAACAGGAACCACGGAUCAACCAGAACAGCCUGUUGCUUGGGAAGGAUCCGCCGAUAACACGCCUGAGCCCAGCCUGGCACAUAUGAACCAGCCUCCAAAUCGGUGUAUAGGUAGGGACCUACAUAACACGUGGCAAGAUGAAGCUGAUUUUGCGGGCAUUUCCCGGCAGCCCCAUCCCUCGCUGCUGAUUGGAUACCGCCAGUUUUUGCCGUUUCCACGAAAACACAAAUUAAGUUGGUUCCUGUGCAUGCACCUCUUCAAUGUCCCCAUAACCAACCGGAGCAGGCAGCUGGCUAUCAAGUCAGCUGUACUGGUGAACCAGGGAGGAAUCACCACCCGGACACAGGGGGAACAGGUCUUACUCUUUGCACUUGGUGCAAUUAGGGUAGGAAACCUCCAAACCUUCUCGUUCCCAAACCCAGGUGUCAGCAGCUGAUGAGGCCCCUUAUUCCUCCACCUACCCCAUGGCUCUCAGGCCAAUGCAUCCUAUUUCUCCAGCCUAUCUGAGCCAAAUCCAAGCCACGAGCUAUUUCAUCUGAGCCGUUCAGGGCAUGGUGGUAGGGAUGGGGGCAUCUUGCUGACGGGAUGCUGAGCUAUUACUAGGAACAUGAAAUGCAGGUGAUGGUUCUGAGAGCAAGAUGCGUGUGUGUGUGAGUGUGCACACGUGCAUGUGCAUGUGUGUUUCCCUGCUCAAGUCCUGUUUGCAGAGAGAUUGUUAUAAGGGAACAGAAUAAAUAGACUGUUUUCCAGAGGAGUGAAUUACAUGCCUGCAGUGCAGAGAUAAUAUGCAAGCAGCCGAGGUUCCUAUUGUGAGCGAGGUGACAUCUUUUUAUGGAGCUGUGUACAUUUGUAUUAGUGCCAAUUAAUCUGUGGUGAUAUUAGUAGAGACACAGGGAGAGAGCGAGAGGGAGAAUGUGCUGGCGGAGGAAUGUAAAUGGGGGGAAGAGAGGAGGCGAUGUCUCGGCCUCGUACAGUGGUGGUGGGGGGCAGCCCCGUCCAUCAGGCUGAGCUCCCUGGAUGCAUUUUGGAGCGUGGGUGCAGUGAUUUCCUUUGGACCCCAAAGCUGGAUGUGGCAGCAGGAUGGUUCCUGCCACGGGCUGCUGGCAAGCCUUGCCUAUGCCAAGGCAGCUGCCCAUUCCUAGCUAGCACGGUCUCCCUGCUUGGGCUCCUAUUAGGUACAGGAAGGGGGCCGAUAGCCCCACUUGCUUUCCAGGAUGGGUGUCACAAGAGCAUGAGCCGAGCUGAGUUCCCCACCUCUGGGCCAGGGGCAUUUCACAGCCCCACGCCUGCAUCCUGGUCUCACAAGCAGCUCUGCUGGGACUUCUCCUCCGUGUGCAACCCAAGGCCAGGCAUGAUGCAGAAAGUGCUGCCACCUCCCGGCCAGGCUACUGCGAGAUGUCUGGGCUCCUUGUUUUAAAGGCUGGACAAUCCACCUCCCGGGAGCGCAGUACGCCCCUCUCUGUUUGCAGCAAUUGCCUUACUCGAAUCCCUCGCCCUUCCCCAAAGGCCCAAGGAUGCUCAACAGGGGACACCGUGACAGUCUCACUGCCAAUGAAAAACAGGUGCUCUGCUAAAGCCAAGAUACUGCAAACUCCUUGGAGCAUUUUAGAUGCUGGCAUCGGGGCUCUGCCGUACCUCAGGUGACUGUGAUCUCAUUCAGAGGGAAAAAAGCAACCUCUUGGUGACUGAUAAUAAGCCCCUUUGGUGGGUGUCUGGAGCUGCUGCCCAGGCUGAAGGAACCGGAGAGCUCCAGGAAAAUGCAGGACAGCUCCAAAAGAGCAGUGGCAGCGUCACUUUUGCUGCAGGAAAUGCAUGCGGCCGUAGGGGCAUGCUGGUGCCCGUGUAGUGCCCAAACCUAGCACCGAGUUUGCCGAGGCAGUUUUUCUCCCGAUUCAAUUGCAUCCAUAGAGGGACUGUGGCAGACAAGUCCCGAAUCGUGCAGUCCAGCUGGCAUCACCCAUCACAUCCGCUCCAGGCUAGUGACAGCUUCUCCCGAGGAGCUAGGUGGAAGUAUCGCUGUGUUGAAUGGAGAGGCAGCAGUGUAGAGCCAGAGCUUGCCCCACUCUCCCCUUGCUUGGCCAUCUCCCAGGCACCCUCCCUGGCAGUGUGAGGUCUGCCCAGACCCCGAGUGAGACCUGGGUUGGCAAGGGACAUGAUGCCAGCAAGCAGCAGAGGCCCUGAGGCUGUCUGCUGCCUCCUUUGGCCCUCUGGCUCUCCCAGGCCCAGCCAGGGUGUCUUCUUGGAGCUAAGCAAGUCUGGAGGGUGCUCCCAGGUGUUUCUCUCCUGUACGUAGCAGCUUUCCCUUGUCUUCUAACAUUGGCCAAAGGCAAUGUCUCUUCCAUGCUGCAGCCAGCCCCUUGCAUUCCUGGAGGCCCGUACACUUCUCUCCCGGAGCAAUGCCACUCAACCGGCAGGGAGACAUCCCCCUUGCAGGUCUCCCCCUGCUUUCAUCUGCAUUUAGCCCUACAGCCAGCAGACAUGCACUGUGUGCUCACAUCAGCACAGAAUAACUACCGCCCUGGGUCAACCUAUAGGGUCACCUUGUCCUGGGACUCUGAGUGUGGAAGGGGAGAGCAUUUGUUCCUCCAUCGUCAGACACGUGCAGCUUUUACCCAUGCAACUCUUGCAGGUAUAGAUGGGUUCCCCUCCGUUGUCUCCUGCCUGAUUUAUUCAUCUGAUCACAGCAUCGCCUCGUAGGGACAGAAGAGAUGCAUUUUCAGAUGUGAGCCACGAUAGUCGAGAUUAGGUACUCAGCCUCUUGUGGCUUCACGUUCAAAGGUGCUGAGUGCUGACAACUUCCAUGGGCUUUAUCAGCAGUGAUGGGCGCUCAGUUGACUCUAUGGGGGUCACCCCUGGGGGCUUAAGGGUGAGGACUGGCUCCUGUUUCCCUCGUCGGCUGAGUGUGUGGAGGGGGGAAUAAGAGCGAGAUUAAAAUGACUAAUUUGGAACAAAGGUCCAGUUUUAACUCCAGAGCAUAUAUAAGUCUCCUCAAAUAAAAUCUUUAGCCCUUGAUGGCAGCUUGACAACCAUGGCACAUCUCUUUAUGCUCCAUGCGUUACGGAGAAGCUUAAGGGCCUGCAGCUAGAAGCGGGAGGCGGGCGGCUUAAGAGGCAGGUCAGCUGAAUUUUGCACACACUUUUGGGAGCAGGCCGGUGGUGUAACAAGGCUGGGCCUUCUAGGUGAGGAGAAAACUCCCCCCAAAGGUCAACCUUCCUGUUAUUCAGCAGCCCGUUCAUUUACCUAUUUGCAAGCAUUUCGGCCGUGUGAAGCUUCAUGGGAUGGGAUGUUUGUGGAAAGGAAAAGCAACAUAGAUACACCUCUCCACCCCAAAAGGCUCCGGUGAUGCAGCUGGAAAGGCCA
This is a long non-coding RNA of Alligator mississippiensis (American alligator), 6605 nucleotides long. RefSeq lists it as uncharacterized. The transcript has 3 exons. NCBI's taxonomy places the organism in Eukaryota, Metazoa, Chordata, Crocodylia, Alligatoridae. The record is from RefSeq and is a predicted model, not a curated record.